RNAcentral lists this ribosomal RNA (397 nucleotides) under uncultured bacterium. RNAcentral's name for it is "partial 16S ribosomal RNA". It matches the Rfam family "Bacterial small subunit ribosomal RNA", at positions 523 to 918 of the family's 1533-position model. The record is from RNAcentral.
AUACGUAGGUGGCAAGCGUUGUCCGGAUUUACUGGGUGUAAAGGGCGCGUAGGCGGGCAGGCAAGUCAGAUGUGAAAUCUCCGGGCUCAACCCGGAAAUUGCAUUUGAAACUGCAGGUCUUGAGUAUCGGAGAGGCAAGCGGAAUUCCUAGUGUAGCGGUGAAAUGCGUAGAUAUUAGGAGGAACACCAGUGGCGAAGGCGGCUUGCUGGACGACAACUGACGCUGAGGCGCGAAAGUGUGGGGAGCAAACAGGAUUAGAUACCCUGGUAGUCCACACUGUAAACGAUGAAUGCUAGGUGUAGGGGGUAUCGACCCCUUCUGUGCCGCAGUCAACACAAUAAGCAUUCCGCCUGGGGAGUACGGCCGCAAGGUUGAAACUCAAAUGAAUUGACGGGG